UUAGAUUUGAUUUAAUUUUUAUUUCCUUCCUUUUGAAUACACUCCUUAAAACUUUUUUUAGGGAUUAAAGUGUUUCAAAUCGUUUACUGUGAAGAAAUUAGAGUGUUCAAAGCAGGCGUAACCUAGCCUUUGAAUAUAUUAGCAUGGGAUAAUGAAAUAGGACUUUAGUUCUACUUUCGUUGGUUUCUAGGGCUGAAGUAAUGAUUAAUAGGGAUAGUUGGGGUCACUAGUAUUUAAUUGUCAGAGGUGAAAUUCUAAGAUUUAUUAAAGACUAACUACUGCGAAAGCAUUUGACAAGGAUGUUUUCAUUAAUCAAGAACGAAAGUUGGGGGAUCGAAGAUGAUCAGAUACCGUCGUAGUCUCAACCAUAAACUAUGCCGACCAAGGAUCCGGGGUUGUUAAUAUGGAUGACUCUCCGGGCACUUAUAGAGAAAUCAUAAGUAUUUGGGUUCUGGGGGGAGUAUGGUCGCAAGGCUGAAACUUAAAGGAAUUGACGGAAGGGCACCACCAGGAGUGGAGCCUGCGGCUUAAUUUGACUCAACACGGGGAAACUCACCAGGUCCAGACAUAACUAGGAUUGACAGAUUGAUAGCUCUUUCAUGAUUUUAUGGGUGGUGGUGCAUGGCCGUUCUUAGUUGGUGGAGUGAUUUGUCUGGUUAAUUCCGAUAACGAACGAGACCUUAACCUGCUAAAUAGCCAGGCCGGCUUUUGCUGGUCGCCGGCUUCUUAGAGGGACUGUCUG
Molecule: ribosomal RNA, 742 nt
Filed under: uncultured eukaryote
Lineage: Eukaryota
Description: bacterial SSU rRNA
Rfam family: Eukaryotic small subunit ribosomal RNA
Source: RNAcentral